GUUAGCUGGAGAUUCAAGCAGAUGCGAGGGGCACCAAAACCCGUUGGAAGCUCAGUUGGAGCAGUUGGAGUUGUUGUACCUGUUGUAACUGAAUUGUAACAGCUUAGUUCUUCAUUAAGUGUAUAAAUACACCAAUGCUGUGCUGGGGAAAGGGGAACGAUAAUUAAUUAGUCUUCUCUCCUGUUCUUCUACUGGAAAUUCUCUCUUCCUCUCUCCCUUUGAAUUUCUCUAUUUAUGUAUAUUCUAUCUGAUCUUGUUAAUGAAAAGUUCUUAAUUUCUCG
RNAcentral lists this unclassified non-coding RNA (281 nucleotides) under Hevea brasiliensis (rubber tree). Lineage: Eukaryota; Viridiplantae; Streptophyta; Magnoliopsida; Malpighiales; Euphorbiaceae. The record is from RNAcentral.